AAUCCUGAUUCUCGAUCACUGAGUCUCAAACAUGUAGAAUUCUACAUCACCCAUCAGAUCAGAUAGGAACCUCUAAUGUGUGUGACCCCACAGGUUCGAACCUAAGUCGGUAGCACAGGAACCAAUUCCUGUACUAAUCGAAGUGACCAUCUAGCAAUGGUACCCGACGUUCGGAUAGGUCGAAGAGUCACAAUCGCAACACUCAGAACCUACAUGAAUAUGGUUACU
Molecule: long non-coding RNA, 228 nt
Filed under: Elaeis guineensis (African oil palm)
Lineage: Eukaryota; Viridiplantae; Streptophyta; Magnoliopsida; Arecales; Arecaceae
Description: long non-coding RNA (EGUI_LNC024278)
Source: RNAcentral